AGCAGCCGCGGUAAUUCCAGCUCCAAUAGCGUAUAUUAAAGUUGUUGCAGUUAAAAAGCUCGUAGUUGAAUUUCGGAAUCGACGGAUUGGUCGCGCCUUCGGUGUGUACUGGUCUUGCCGGUUUCUCCCUUCUGACGAACCACGAUGUCAUUAAUUUGGUGUCGUGGGGAAUUAGGACUGUUAUUUUGAAAAAAUUAGAGUGUUUAAAGCAGGCAUUAGCUUGAAUACAUUAGCAUGGAAUAAUGAAAUAGGACGUUUGAUCUUAUUUUGUUGGUUUCUAGGAUCGACGUAAUGAUUAAUAGGGAUAGUUGGGGGCAUUAGUAUUCAAUUGUCAGAGGUGAAAUUCUUGGAUUUAUUGAAGACUAACUACCGCGAAAGCAUUUGCCAAGGAUGUUUUCAUUAAUCAAGAACGAAAGUUAGGGGAUCGAAGACGAUCAGAUACCGUCGUAGUCUUAACCAUAAACUAUGCCGACUAGGGAUCGGAUGAUGUUAAUUUUUAAUGACUCAUUCGGCGCCUUAC
RNAcentral lists this ribosomal RNA (520 nucleotides) under uncultured Glomus. Its description in RNAcentral is "SSU rRNA". It matches the Rfam family "Eukaryotic small subunit ribosomal RNA", at positions 569 to 1091 of the family's 1831-position model. Lineage: Eukaryota; Fungi; Glomeromycota; Glomeromycetes; Glomerales; Glomeraceae. The record is from RNAcentral.